This 497-nucleotide ribosomal RNA is filed under the name uncultured bacterium. RNAcentral's name for it is "partial 16S ribosomal RNA". It matches the Rfam family "Bacterial small subunit ribosomal RNA", at positions 28 to 507 of the family's 1533-position model. The record is from RNAcentral.
GACGAACGCUGGCGGCGUGCCUAAUACAUGCAAGUAGAACGCUGAAGCGAGGAGCUUACUCUUCUUGGAUGAGUUGCGAACGGGUGAGUAACGCGUAGGUAACCUGCCUUGUAGCGGGGGAUAACUAUUGGAAACGAUAGCUAAUACCGCAUAACAAUGGAUGACACAUGUCAUUUAUUUGAAAGGGGCAAUUGCUCCACUACAAGAUGGACCUGCGUUGUAUUAGCUAGUAGGUGAGGUAAUGGCUCACCUAGGCGACGAUACAUAGCCGACCUGAGAGGGUGAUCGGCCACACUGGGACUGAGACACGGCCCAGACUCCUACGGGAGGCAGCAGUAGGGAAUCUUCGGCAAUGGGGGCAACCCUGACCGAGCAACGCCGCGUGAGUGAAGAAGGUUUUCGGAUCGUAAAGCUCUGUUGUAAGUCAAGAACGGGUGUGAGAGUGGAAAGUUCACACUGUGGCGGUAGCUUACCAGAAAGGGACGGCUAACUACGUG